ACAUGAUGAUUGGGAUUGCAUACAAGUUUGGCCCUUUGCCUUACCUUAGUAAUGGUGAAGAGGGUUAUUCUAGUGGACUUUGGUUUAAGAGGAUAACCUGAAGGUCAAGUUCGGGUAGAAUGAGCCUCCAGGCUAGAUAUGUGAAAUGAGCCUUCGGGUCGGAUAUGAGCCUUUAGGCUGGAUAAGUUGUAAAAUCCUUAUAGGGUUCGAAAAUUGUUGUAUUGAACAUGUAGCAUGUAUAUGAAAGGAACAUGAAAUUUUUGUGAGCAUGAAAUAAAUAAGUGAAAAAAAGGAGAAAUCCGUUCGAUCGUUAUCUC
Molecule: long non-coding RNA, 317 nt
Filed under: Carica papaya (papaya)
Lineage: Eukaryota; Viridiplantae; Streptophyta; Magnoliopsida; Brassicales; Caricaceae
Description: long non-coding RNA (CPAP_LNC011022)
Source: RNAcentral